GUCAAACAGCGGCGCUCUGGAUCUGUUAAAUCUGCUGACAACUUAUCAAAAGAAGCACCUGGUGGAAUUCUUGCCUUACCACGAGUGUGAUGCUCCAUCAAGACAAGCUCCAGAUCUGGACUGUUUGGUGAAGUUACAGGCUCAGCACACACAGCUCAGACACGUCAUCUUCCUCACAGAUAAGUCCUUUGAUGUGACCAAGUUCUCUAGUAAUGGGAUCAUCACAACUAGCUUGAAUGACAUCAUGAGAGACUUCGAGAGCCUGAUAUGCAGGACUCAAGCUGAAGACUCACUGCCCAUUGUUCCGGCUCCAGGUAACCGCCACGCGUAUCACCUUUUCUCUGGAACCCCCUCCAACAUUCACACUUCAGAUUAGAGUUGCGCACAGAGCCAGAUUCGUGCAUGGAUGAGGAGGACAUGUCCCUAGACUCGGAUGAGGAUGCAACCAUGCAAGCGGAGGACAGGGCAGUGGAGAAGCAGGCCACUCUACCUCUUCAACCUGUGAGCGAGGACAUUCUGCCCCCUCUCUCUGACCCACAUAAAACAGUCCCUCUGUCCUCUUGUUCUGUGGAUUACAAUGUUCUCAAGGCGGCCAUCUCACAGUAUAAAGCUACUAAGCAGGCUGGAACAUCCAUGCCUGGGGGGGAGGACAACUUGGUUGGUUUUGGUGUGAACCCCCACCAGAGCUACUUGUACCCCAACUCAGCACAGUGGAGCCCCUAUUCCGGUUCUCCAGGCUAUCACAUGAGCUCUACCUAUUCUUCACCUGCAUGCUCAACUUUGCAAGGACAGGAGUACAGCCAAGUGAGCAGCAUGAGUGUAACCCCUGCCAGCACUGUCCCCCUGUCCCAAACUGCUAAUCAGGCUAACCCCAACUCUUCUUGUGUGAACCCACCUGCUAACACUGCUCCCCCGGGCCUGUCCCAAACCUCCUGCAGGGAGGACAUAGUUCCGGAUGGGCUGUCCUGCUCUCAACCCUUGCCUCAGGCUCAAACUCAGUCUCUUGAUGACAGUCAGCCAUUUUUGCCUGGCUCUCAAGAUACACAGACUAAAGCCAUGGAACCUCCUGUCCUCGCUUCCUCUUCUUCCUCCUCUAUACCUUGCACUAUGCCCAGCUACCCAGAUGGUCCUGUAUUCCCUGGGCCCAUACCCACACCCCCUGUGCCACCCAUGUAUAACUGGGCACCUCCAACAAGGGCACAGAAUAGCUAUGCUUCGGGGGGGAACACAGCACCUUUUGGGAAGAAUGAAGGUGCAGCAUCAACUGAAGGAUUAUGCAUAGGGCCUGGCGAGGGUUUGACUCUUAAUAAUAAAGUUGAUGGAAGUACGUCUGGCACACCGCCUUCCUCAUUACAGUACCAGGAUGGAGGGACUGAGAAAAGCAACACAUCGGGCAGUGUAAUGCCCUGCAGUCAGGGGAGUAGGACAUCAGUAGACUCUUGCACAGAGAGCCACAGAGGUGGCAUGACACAUGCCCGAGGCAUGACACAUGUCCGAGGCAUGUCUGGAGGGGGCAUGCCUUGCAACCCCAGAGGGCUCCUACCCCGGCCUGGAGUCACGAUGCGUCCUGCAUGCCGAGGAGGGCCACACGGGCCGAUCCCACACAGUGGGAACCGCAUGUUUGGCCCCCGAGGGCCCAUUCCAGGGCUUAUGGACAUCAGACGUGGAGGCUUCAGAGGUAGAGGAAUGCCCCCCAUGCCCAUGAGGUCCAGACCGGGCAGAGGGUCAAUGUGGGGAGGAACGCACUGUAACCGGGGCUAUGGUCCUCCAAAGGAUUACUACUCAGACUACACUUACUAAAAGGUUGGGAGCAGUCAGUACUUACAGACUACUGCCAUACAGAAUGUAUAUAGUCAACAUGAAGAGCACAUUUAAAUUUAAGGAAAAAAAGAGAAAGAAUUGGUUUUGUACCAUUAGAUCAACAAAUCAGACUGCGACCAGGAUUGUGUAACUCAAAAAUGCUCUUCUUUAAUGAGUUGUUUGAAACCUUGUUCAGACCACUAUAUUUAUAUCGCCAAGAAAUGUAAUUGCC
Molecule: long non-coding RNA, 2032 nt
Organism: Ictalurus punctatus (channel catfish)
Lineage: Eukaryota; Metazoa; Chordata; Actinopteri; Siluriformes; Ictaluridae
Source: Ensembl